AUGUAGUGGCGCAUUAUUCUAGUCAAUAAUUUUAUUUCGAAGGCGGGGCUAAAAAUCCGUCAAAGAGCAUAUCUGUGAAACUUCUGGUGCUUGCUUAUUACGCCCAGUUUUGGGUGAGUGCUGGGAAUGAGAGUAUUGGACUGGCCGUAAUGGCAUACGGUAUCAGGCCCAAUAUUCGUGGAGACCUAUUCUUGUAGUAGUUAAUCUAUUACGACUUAGGAUUAAACCUAUCUUGUGAUGCAAGUUAUGGAUAGUGUAGCUUGUCUUGAGUGAAAAUGUUUGGGAUGAGAAGAUCUUAACAAGUUUUUUAGGCCAAAAAAGUUUGUUAUGCACUCUGAAAUCAUUUUUGCAAAAAAGAACUAGAAAUAAAAGUUGGUGAGGAAAUCUCCUAGAAUGUACGUUUCAUGGGAUUGCAGUGGGCACUAAGUGGCAAUCAAGUCAUAUAUUGGAGACGAUAUAUUGAUUUCUUUAAAGGGGAACCGCUUUACUGGUAACGGAAAGUAGAAAUCAGGGAAAUCCUACUUGACCUAAGGCUCAAAGUUUACCAUGCAAGUAGCCAUUAUUUUUUUU
Molecule: small RNA, 570 nt
Filed under: bovine gut metagenome
Source: RNAcentral